AUGAACAUGUCGAGUACAACGCUUGCUUGGGCGAACAAGGAGGUGGAGACGUUCCUCAGCAUUCUUGGGGAGGAAGACGUGCAGAGGGAGCUUGAUGGAGCAGUGAGGAACGAGAAGGUCUUCCAGCUAGUUUCUGGUCGAAUGGCGAUUGCAGGUUACGAGAAGAACACAGAGCAGUGUCGGCAGAAAUGCAAAAAGCUCCGGGCCGAGUAUCGGAAGGUGAAAGACCACGACAACCACAGUGGCGUCGACGGGAAGAUGUGGAAGUGGUUUAACAUCAUGGACGCAAUCUACGGACACCGACCGGCGAGUAGAGGAAGAGAGGGGGCCAUCGACAUGGCCACCUCUCUGCUCGAGUCCAUGUUGGAGCCUACCGGUGAGGAACCUCGCAACCAGGAAGUGCCUGACUCGGCCUUCCCAGAGGACGAAGACAUGGGGUCAAGCCGUUGUAUGAGCCCAACACUACCACCAAGAACAUCUACACCAGUCCCAGUGGAGAGUGCUGCUCUUUGCAACACCACCAACCCCACCUAUCCACGGUCUUUUGCUUUUGCCAAAAGAAGUAGGGCCACUGAUGUUACAGCGAGCAUCCGGGAUAUGCAGGAGCGGGAAGAGGAGCGGGAAGAGGAGCGGCAGGAGCGGGAAGAGGAGCGGCUGGACCGUAGACACCGGGUCGCUCGAGAGGAGGCCCUACAGGAUGCCAUCGAUGCUAGACUGCAUGAGGAUCAACGAGCAUGCAGCAGAUGGCGCAAGUUGCAGCGUUCAACACAGCCUUCCUCCAAACCUUCAGCCAGAGGGUGCAGGCGUUUGGACACCGCGACCCUGUGCCGUGAUCCAGCCAUUCAGGGCCUGACCCUCUGA
This 861-nucleotide long non-coding RNA is filed under the name Gadus morhua (Atlantic cod). Its description in RNAcentral is "lncRNA (ENSGMOG00000028960.1)". Lineage: Eukaryota; Metazoa; Chordata; Actinopteri; Gadiformes; Gadidae. The record is from RNAcentral.